AAUAUUGAACGUGAACUUCAGAUAUGGAGUAUUGGUUCUCCUGAUCCUAACUUCACAUUAGAUGGCCACUCAAAAGGCGUGAACCGUGUUGAUUACUUCACCGGUGGUCCAUUUUUUAUUACUGGAUCUGAUGAUCAGACUGCAAAGGUUUAAGAUUACCAAACCAAGAGAUGUGUUUAAACACUUGAAGGACAUGCACACAAUGUGUCUGCUGUCUGUUUCCAUCUAGAACUACCUAUUAUAAUUACUGGCUCAGAGGAUGGCACAGUUCGCUUGUGGCACUCUACAACCUACAGGCUUGAGAACACUCUUCAUUAUGGUCUUGAGCGAGUUUGGGCUUUAGGAUACAUGAAGGGGUCAAGAAGGAUUCUGAUUGGAUAUGAUUUAGGGAAAAUUAUGAUAAAAAUUGGCCGUGAAGUUCCAGUUGCUAGCAUGGACAACAGUGAAAAAAUCCUAUGGGCAAAACAUAACGAAAUCCAAACUGUUAGUAUCAAGACUGUUGGUGCAGGCAAUGAGGUUCUUCUUCUUUGCCAUGUUAAAUGUGCAGGAUUGUGA
Molecule: ribosomal RNA, 555 nt
Filed under: Triticum aestivum (bread wheat)
Lineage: Eukaryota; Viridiplantae; Streptophyta; Magnoliopsida; Poales; Poaceae
Description: partial small subunit ribosomal RNA
Source: RNAcentral